AUUGAACGCUGGCGGCAUGCCUUACACAUGCAAGUCGAACGGUAACGGGCCUUCGGGUGCCGACGAGUGGCGCACGGGUGAGUAAUACAUCGGAACGUGCCCGAUCGUGGGGGAUAACGAGGCGAAAGCUUUGCUAAUACCGCAUACGAUCUACGGAUGAAAGCCGGGGACCGCAAGGCCUUGCGCGGACGGAGCGGCCGCUGGCAGAUUAGGUAGUUGGUGGGAUAAAAGCUUACCAAGCCGACGAUCUGUAGCUGGUCUGAGAGGAUGAUCAGCCACACUGGGACUGAGACACGGCCCAGACUCCUACGGGAGGCAGCAGUGGGGAAUUUUGGACAAUGGGCGCAAGCCUGAUCCAGCCAUGCCGCGUGCAGGAUGAAGGCCUUCGGGUUGUAAACUGCUUUUGUACGGAACGAAAAGCCUUCUUUUAAUACAGGAGGGUCAUGACGGUACCGUAAGAAUAAGCACCGGCUAACUACGUG
Molecule: ribosomal RNA, 482 nt
Filed under: uncultured bacterium
Lineage: Bacteria
Description: partial 16S ribosomal RNA
Rfam family: Bacterial small subunit ribosomal RNA
Source: RNAcentral